This 301-nucleotide ribosomal RNA is filed under the name uncultured bacterium. RNAcentral's name for it is "partial 16S ribosomal RNA". It matches the Rfam family "Bacterial small subunit ribosomal RNA", at positions 509 to 807 of the family's 1533-position model. The record is from RNAcentral.
CAGUAGCCGCGGGAAUACGGAGGGUGCAAGCGUUAAUCGGAAUUACUGGGCGUAAAGCGUGCGUAGGUGGUGGUUUAAGUCCGUUGUGAAAGCCCUGGGCUCAACCUGGGAAUUGCAGUGGAUACUGGGUCACUAGAGUGUGGUAGAGGAUAGUGGAAUUUCCGGUGUAGCAGUGAAAUGCGUAGAGAUCGGAAGGAACAUCUGUGGCGAAGGCGACUAUCUGGGCCAACACUGACACUGAGGCACGAAAGCGUGGGGAGCAAACAGGAUUAGAUACCCCUGUAGUCCCUGUCUCUUAUAC